Herpailurus yagouaroundi (jaguarundi) is the source of this 738-nucleotide long non-coding RNA. RefSeq lists it as uncharacterized. The transcript is spliced from 4 exons. Lineage: Eukaryota; Metazoa; Chordata; Mammalia; Carnivora; Felidae. The record is from RefSeq and is a predicted model, not a curated record.
CAUCAGUCCCCCCGGCUAGCAGCUGCAAUAUCCAUAUCUUCUUAUUUGUGGAUUUCGAAAACAGACAGACUUUUCCCACAGUGUGAGUGUGGGAUUUUCUGCCCUUUCUUCUCCUUCAAGCCUACAAUUUCCCGUUCUCUUUUCACUCUCAAGGGGGUAACACAAGCAUUAACGAUGAUGAAAGGGACUCCUAACAUCCAUGGGAAAUAUGUGAAAGUCAAGUGAAGUUAUUUCCCCUCAACUCAAAGGAACACCUAAAAGUAUUAGAAGAUUUUACAGUAUUCCACAUUCAAGACAGACUGAACUCAUUGAUGGCAAAAUUGGAACAUCAGCCAUCAAGCCUUAACCAUGGGUCAGUUCAGAUUUCAGAAAAGAGAUCAUUUUCGGAUCUCUGUCAAAAGCACAGGUUUUAAACUGGAUGACACCUUCUGCCCCACUCAUGAUUUUUCCAGGAGGUAAUAAAGAGCUUAUUGGUAGUUUCAUCAGAAGAUCCAACUUGAAGAACCCUCUACUUUUUUUUCUUCUUGCAGUGAUUGGGAUAUCAAGUAGCCCAAAACUAACAUCCUACAAACAUGGUGAAAUCCAGAAUUCUAGCAAAUAGCAGAGGGAGAAGGAAAGGCUGAUGCUCCUUCAAAGUUUCGUCCUCAAUAAAUGAAUAAUUUUUGUCUGAUGAUUCCCUGGAAGAUUCUACUUGUAAACAUGGCUGUAUUUGACCUGAGCUGAAGCUCCCCCAGUGAG